AUGCGAUCUUUGCUCCUUCUCCUCUUACCGCUCCUUUCGGUAUCAAUUCCACUUGGGAAACAGACCGGUUACGACGAUGCAGAAGCCAGAAGACUUGUAAAACUGGCAGCAGCAGCGUAUGGGGAACGACAUGUUUCUUGUAUUAACAAAGCCUUCGGGAACGGAGAAAAUUUUCAUAUUGAAAAUAUCGAGCAAAAGAGUUGCGAUCACUUGGAUAGUACCUGUGCGUCGUUUACAGUCGUCUCCGAAAAUGCACGACGAAUUAUUGUGGUGUUCCGAGGAACACGAUCUAAGUCUCAACUAUUCCUAGAAGGAUGGCAGUCCGUCGGAACCGGAAUUGAUUUCUUUGACAUGGGAGAAGUCAAUAGAUAUUUCCUAAAUGCGCAUUUGGUACUUUGGCCGGAAAUUGAGAAAGUCAUUACGAAUCCAAGAUGGGCGGUCAGUUUUUUUAAAAAAUUAUUUCGCAUUUCAAUUAGUUCUAUUUAAUUAUGUGCUCUCGUAUAUUCGGAAAUUCGGACAAAUUUUCAUGAUUCGAAAUUGCAAGUAGAUAUUUUGAAAACCGGCAAUAGUCAAUAUUGUCGAUUGCCGAAUAUUUCAAAAAUCGUUAAUUGCCAAAAUCGCCGGUUUUCAGAAUUUAUUAAAGGUGGAGUAGCGCCAGUGGAGAAAUCGUUAAAAACCACUCCUUUGGUCCCAAAAUGACCUAAUAUCACAAUAAAACGUUUCAAACAAUUUUUGCAAAUUUUUUAUUUACUGUCAAAAAGUGACAAUUACUCCGUUUUUGCCACUCAUAAUUUUGGAAGUCGACCAAAAAAAAUUUUUUUUUCUACAAUUUUUAUACUGUUAAUUUGUUUUAAUUAUUUGGAUUAGAACAUUGUAGGGGUCGGAACAUGCGAUGAAGCUUUGGAUUUCCUCAAAAACUCAUAUUUUUCCGAAUUUCGGCAAUUUGCCAAAACUUCGACCAGAAAUUAUGAAAAAUCUAAAAUUUUUUGGAAUAUUUUAUUAUGAUAUUCGGUCAUUUUGGAUUAUUGAUUUUCUCUAUUUUACAAAAAAAAUUCCAGAACUUCGAUAUCACCUUCACCGGUCACUCCCUCGGUGGAGCUCUUGCUUCUCUCGCAGCCGCCCGUACCGCAAAACAAGGCUUCCGAUCUGGCUCUCAAAUUAAAGUCUACACCUUCGGCCAGCCACGUGUCGGAAAUGUGCAAUUCGCUCGCAACUUUGACGCGAUUCUCCCGAACACUUAUCGAGUGGUCUUCCGACGAGACAUCGUUCCACAUAUGCCAGCGUGUCACAAGAAUCAGACAUUCAUCUCGGAGCACGAAGGUGGAGCAAAGCCGUGUCACGCAGAGCACCAGGAUUAUUAUCAUCAUGGAACGGAGAUUUGGUAUCCGGACGAGAUGAGCGCUGGAGCACAUUAUGUCGAGUGCCUAGGGGCUCCGAAGAAUGAAGAUUUUGGAUGCUCGGAUAGAAUCAAGUUUUUUGUUGAUCAAUCUGAUACGUACACCUGGGAUCAUCGACAUUAUUUUGGAGUCAAGGUACCACCAUAUGGAAAAACCGGAUGCGAUGAUCUACUUCCCGAAGGAAAACCAACAGUUUUUGAAAAUGUUGUGAAGCGGCUCAAUUUGCUCACAAGAACCAUUGGUUUGGAUUAA
This 1649-nucleotide unclassified non-coding RNA is filed under the name Caenorhabditis elegans. Its description in RNAcentral is "Non-coding transcript of protein-coding gene T08B1.4a". The record is from RNAcentral. Lineage: Eukaryota; Metazoa; Nematoda; Chromadorea; Rhabditida; Rhabditidae.